Gossypium hirsutum (cotton) is the source of this 139-nucleotide non-coding RNA. Lineage: Eukaryota; Viridiplantae; Streptophyta; Magnoliopsida; Malvales; Malvaceae. The record is from Rfam.
UGUUGAAAAUUUCAUUCAUUUCUAUCGUUUAAAAUUGGCAUGGUUGAAAGAAUAACCAAAUAGUGACACGUGACGUGCCAUUCAUACUUUAUGCUAACAUACAUGGACUAAUUUUUAAUAAUGGAUAAAAUUUUUAACA